CGGCUUGAUGGAUGGCGGGUACCGGGGGACGUUCCAGAUGCCCCGAGCCGCGCUCGACGCGUGGGUGAGCCGU
RNAcentral lists this transfer RNA (73 nucleotides) under Streptomyces narbonensis. Its description in RNAcentral is "tRNA-Trp". The record is from RNAcentral. Lineage: Bacteria; Bacillati; Actinomycetota; Actinomycetes; Kitasatosporales; Streptomycetaceae.